This is a long non-coding RNA of Amphimedon queenslandica, 193 nucleotides long. RefSeq lists it as uncharacterized. The record is from RefSeq and is a predicted model, not a curated record. Lineage: Eukaryota; Metazoa; Porifera; Demospongiae; Haplosclerida; Niphatidae. The transcript is spliced from 2 exons.
AUAAAGAUGUAGCUAACUGAUCUUCUACAUUUAUAAUCAAGAACUGUUCGUGUUUCAGGUGCUUGUUUCCACUGUAAGGAUUUAAAAUGGCUGACACAAAAAUCAUACUAAAUUCUAUAACUUGUAAAAUAGAGUGAAUGCAAUCACACUUACAAGUUUCAUUGCUCUAGGAGAAAAGGGAAAAUUUUUCUAA